Cricetulus griseus (Chinese hamster) is the source of this 3372-nucleotide non-coding RNA. Lineage: Eukaryota; Metazoa; Chordata; Mammalia; Rodentia; Cricetidae. The record is from RefSeq and is a predicted model, not a curated record.
ACCCUAACUAAGACAGUGCCUCUACCCGUUUUCCCCAUGAGCUUUGGAGACUGCAGAUGGGCAGUCCUCUGGACCCUUACGAUCCCAUUUCAGGAAGUAUAUAACACGUCUAGGGAAGCUAGUUUGAGUUAUAGGGUAUUGGCCAAAGGAGUGGAGUACCACCAGUGGAGGUGUUUGUCAGAAAAAGCAGGAGCGGGAAGGACUCUUGCCUUGGAGUCAUGCUGUCCACAGUGGAUUCAGAGGCUGUGACUCACUAAGGAAAAGGAGUGCCCUGUGUCCUAGGAGAGGCUGCUUCUCUCCAAAUAAGAAUUCUUUGGCUGAGGAAGGAAAUGAGGCAAUCUAAGAUUAAUCAGCGGCCACCAGUCGGACAGAGCUAGAAGUCCAAGCCAUAGCCAGCUACUUCUGGUUAACAUUCACCCUUUACCCACAAGGCACCCAGGACACCAACAUGCUGAGUUCUAGUGAGAAAGGGAAUGAGCCCCUCCUUGGGUUCAAGCAUCCUUUCUCUGUGAUCCUAGACCUCAGAUCUAGCAGAGCCUCAAAUUACAAGGAUGUGAAGACUGGCAUGGCCAUCGUGUGAGAAAGCUCACCCGCACCUAAUCCUCUCACUUUAGUCUGUGAUGUGUGCACUCUGGCUGUUGGUGGAAGGCAUAGCUUGCAGCCCUGGAAGGAGAGUAUCCUAAAUGUUUUGUCCAGGGUGGUGCAAAAGUUUAUGCAUGGCCAUUCCAAAAUUUGAGCUGGAUAGCUGCUCCAGUUGGAGUGACAGAUGAGAUAGAACCAGUGGGUCUGUUUUUAGCUACCCGCUAUUAAAUCUCAUCCAUAAUCAAAGAACUCUUAUUGGCCGGGCAGUGGUGGCGCUCACUUUUAAUCCCAGCACUUCGGAAGCAGAGACAGACCUAUUUGUGAGUUCCAGGCCAGCCUGAUUUACAAAGCAAGUUCCAGGACAGGCUCCAAAGCUACAGAUAACCCUUAUUUCGAGUUGAUACAAGGGCCCAUGUUAGAAACCUCAUUGGAUAAAUCAAGCAUUCUGUAAGCCUUCACAGAAGAACCAGAAGAGACAUCAUAGGCAAUGACGUCUACUAUGGAGAAGAUGUCAAUUUUAGUGUGAAGCAUUGUCCUUCCCUUGAUAGAAGAGGCCAAUAUAAUCAAUCUGUCACCAAGAGACUGACUAAAAGCCUCAUGGGAGUUCUAAAAGACAGAAGCUAACUGGUGUCUGUCAGGGAGUCCUCCUGUCCACAUGGCUGUUUACUGCAUCUUUUGAGGUGAAUGCCCUCUGGUAAGCAAUGACUUGAGACACAAAGAUACCACAUCUUGUGCCAAGGCACAUAAGUUCAUCCAAGUACUUCUCACUCAGGCCUCUUUGUCCCCAGAUUCCCUAUCCUGCUCUUUGCAUGUGUUUUUGAUGCACUAUAACUGGAGAUAGAGUCAUCCAGAGGUCCAGGUGAGGAAGGCAGGACCCCUGGGAUGGUGCUAUCAGGAGUAAUGGGAUCUCUAAAAGCAGAUGCCUAGUGGGUGGUCACUAUGGCCAUAAUAUUCUGACUCUCUGAAGUUCCUGAGAAAGUUGCCAUGAAAGAAGCAAGUGUGCUCCCCCACUCCAUGCUCCCCUACUGCAGGCACAAGUUUGCAAUCACUUGUUCCUUCAUGCUCCCCACCAUCUGCCGUUCCUCAGAAAUGACCCUAUGAAAGCCUUGAACCUCUAAGACAUAAGCCAAAAACCUCCUUGCUUUCCUUGUUUUGUUUUUGUUGUUAUUGUUGUUGUUUGUUUGUUUUUCAAGACAGGAUUGUCCUGGAACUCACUCUGUGGACCAGACUGGCCUCAAACCCAGAUAUCUACCUGCCUCUGCCUCUUGAGUGCUGGAAUUAAAGCUCACCCCAAGGCACAAGAUUUUUCCUCCAUCAGUUUAUCAUACAAAGGCGAUGGCAUGAUCUGAGAAACUGACUCUGAUACAGCAGAGGAGGAAGACACUGGGAUCCUGGCCAUGUGUUCACUUAAUUGCCUUGUGUUCUUUGGAUCUACUCCCAGUAACCUUCCAUCAUACUUGAAAGGCAGCUCCAGCUUCAAAGUCAUUUGAUGUCUCAUGGUCAAUUCCACAAUGUCCUUUAAAUGACUCUUCUUCCAAUGAGUAGCUAAGGGUAAUUCAUUACAAAAGGAAUACCCUUGCACUAGGUUUCCAUGGCUCUGUCCUGAAAUUCUAAUAGCAAACCUUCAAUAGACUCCACACGGCAGGCAUCUUUAUCUACCAUGAAUAACCUUCCUGCACACAGGGCAUUUUGGCCCACAGCAUCGAUCUGCUACAAAGUCUCUCCUUGAUAUGUAUUUGAACCACAAAAUGGAUGAAUCAAUGGUGUACAAUGCUAUGUGUUUUUCUCAGAAACAAGGGAUAGUUGGGAUACAGUAUCCUAUCUCAGACCAGUGGAUCCUCACAAUAUUUUCAUCUCUAUGACAGAGCUCUAAAUUUUAGGGGAAGGGAGAUUUCUCUCUCAUCUACCUUAUAUUUUGUUCUGAUCCAAUUAGUAUUAUGCACUGUAGAAUGACAGCAUGAUCAAGGACCCUGUGGCUAUAUUGUGACAGAAUUAGCACCACCCACCUGGGCAAGGCAAGAAAUCUACAUUGCUGUUUUCCCCAUUCAUGAACAAAAUAACUUUGAAUUUCCUUACUGAUAAGGACUUAAUUUAGGGGUGGGCGAGGGUUGACACAGGUCUCUAUAUAACCUUGGCUGGUCUGGAACUCACUCUAUAGAACAGGCUGGCCUUGAACUCACAGAGAUCCACUGGCCUCUGCCUCCUGAGUACUAGAAUUAAAGGUGUGUGCCACCUGAGCUGGGUGGUGGUUGUGGCGAUGGCAUCGGUGGAGGCAGCAGCACAUGCCCUUAAUCCCCGUACUCAAGAGGCAGAGGCAGCCUGGUCUAUAGAGUGAGUUCCAGGAUGGCUAUGGCUGUUACACAGAGAAACCCUGUCUCGAAACACCAUUUAAAAAAAAAAAGCAGGGAGGUGGGGGGUGGGGUGGGCGUGUGUCAUCAUACCUAGCCCUUGAUGAGAACUUAAAAGACUGUACUCACUAGUGCAGUGCUGCACACCAAGUGUCAAACGCUUUAUUGGUCUGCUUUGGUAGAGAUUGUCCCAGGUGCAUUUGGAGCUAUGGCUUGGCUAAACCAAUGGAAAGCCACUGUCAUCCAGUCUGUAGUUCCCUGUACCAAUGAACCCAGUGGGCAUGUGAUAGGAAAUGCCAUUGUUGUGCCUUUAGUCUUCGGUGUGAAGGGACCAGCUCCCCUUUCGGCAGCAAUAACAGCCGAACACAUGCUUGCCAUAAACUUGCCUUGGUCACUUAGAGGUCAGAUGCCUGCCUUGUGACAAGGAACCAAUCAGAAGUUA